RNAcentral lists this long non-coding RNA (324 nucleotides) under Physcomitrium patens. RNAcentral describes it as "long non-coding RNA (PPAT_LNC013706)". Lineage: Eukaryota; Viridiplantae; Streptophyta; Bryopsida; Funariales; Funariaceae. The record is from RNAcentral.
UUACCCACUAACAAGGCAACGACAACGACGAAUUACAAUCCUAAGUUAACAUAGAUCAUUCAAUGUAUGAUGGCUUACCUCAUGCAAUUCCAGCUUCCUGCACAAUUAGUAUACCACUGGCCUCUCGAUCACAUGCUAAGGUUUCUAGCACAAACUACCAUAGAUAUCCCCAGGACCCGCAUACCUUCUACUGUGCUCCUUCCAAUCACGACCCCAUCAUCUUGCUCCUAUUAUCUCCUUCCUCCAUGUAAUCAAUCAUCUCAACUCAAAAAAAAAAAAAAAAAAAAAAAAAAAAAAUUGUUAGACAACGUCUCUAAGAUCGGC